Molecule: non-coding RNA, 956 nt
Filed under: Rangifer tarandus (reindeer)
Lineage: Eukaryota; Metazoa; Chordata; Mammalia; Artiodactyla; Cervidae
Description: 12S ribosomal RNA
Rfam family: Bacterial small subunit ribosomal RNA
Source: RNAcentral
CACAGGUUUGGUCCCAGCCUUCCUAUUAACCCUUAACAGACUUACACAUGCAAGCAUCUACAUCCCAGUGAAAAUGCCCUCCAGGUCAAUAGGACCAAGAGGAGCUGGUAUCAAGCACACACCUGUAGCUCAUGACACCUUGCUUAGCCACACCCCCACGGGAGACAGCAGUGAUAAAAAUUAAGCUAUAAACGAAAGUUUGACUAAGCCAUGUUAAUCAGGGUUGGUAAAUUUCGUGCCAGCCACCGCGGUCAUACGAUUAACCCAAGUUAAUAGGCCUACGGCGUAAAGCGUGUUUAAACACUACACCAAAUAAAGUUAAAUUUUAAUUAAGCUGUAAAAAGCCAUAAUCACAAUGAAAAUAAAUAACGAAAGUAACUUUACAACCGCUGAAACACGAUAGCUAAGAUCCAAACUGGGAUUAGAUACCCCACUAUGCUUAGCCCUAAACACAAGUAGUUAUAUAAACAAAACUAUUCGCCAGAGUACUACCGGCAAUAGCUUAAAACUCAAAGGACUUGGCGGUGCUUUAUACCCUUCUAGAGGAGCCUGUUCUAUAAUCGAUAAACCCCGAUAAACCUCACCACCCCUUGCUAAUACAGUCUAUAUACCGCCAUCUUCAGCAAACCCUAAAAAGGAACAAAAGUAAGCACAAUCAUCAUACGUAAAAACGUUAGGUCAAGGUGUAACCUAUGGAGUGGAAAGAAAUGGGCUACAUUUUCUAACUUAAGAAAACCCCCUACGAAAGUUAUUAUGAAAUUAGUAACCAAAGGAGGAUUUAGCAGUAAACUAAGAAUAGAGUGCUUAGUUGAAUUAGGCCAUGAAGCACGCACACACCGCCCGUCACCCUCCUCAAGUAAGCACAAUACACUUAAACUUAUUACUAUGUAUUAAUAUAUAUGAGAGGAGAUAAGUCGUAACAAGGUAAGCAUACUGGAAAGUGUGCUUGGAUAAAU